GCUGCAGUGAGGAAUAUUGGACAAUGGGCGGGAGCCUGAUCCAGCCAUGCCGCGUGCAGGAAGACGGCCCUAUGGGUUGUAAACUGCUUUUAUACGGGAAGAAACACUCCCUCGUGAGGGAGCUUGACGGUACCGUAAGAAUAAGGAUCGGCUAACUCCGUGCCAGCAGCCGCGGUAAUACGGAGGAUCCAAGCGUUAUCCGGAAUCAUUGGGUUUAAAGGGUCCGUAGGCGGGACAAUAAGUCAGCGAUGAAAGUCUGUGGCUCAACCAUAGAAUUGCCAUUGAUACUGUUGUUCUUGAGUGUUUAUGAAGUGGUUGGAAUAUGUAGUGUAGCGGUGAAAUGCAUAGAUAUUACAUAGAACACCGAUUGCGAAGGCAGAUCACUAAUAAAAUACUGACGCUGAUGGACGAAAGCGUAGGUAGCGAACAGGAUUAGAUACCCUGGUAGUCUACGCCGUAAACGAUGGUUACUAGCUGUUCGGUCGUAAGACUGAGUGGCUAAGCGAAAGUGAUAAGUAACCCACCUGGGGAGUACGUUCGCA
This 542-nucleotide ribosomal RNA is filed under the name uncultured bacterium. Its description in RNAcentral is "bacterial SSU rRNA". It matches the Rfam family "Bacterial small subunit ribosomal RNA", at positions 348 to 890 of the family's 1533-position model. The record is from RNAcentral.